RNAcentral lists this ribosomal RNA (557 nucleotides) under uncultured eukaryote. Its description in RNAcentral is "SSU rRNA". It matches the Rfam family "Eukaryotic small subunit ribosomal RNA", at positions 4 to 565 of the family's 1831-position model. The record is from RNAcentral.
CUGGUUGAUCCUGCCAGUAGUCAUAUGCUUGUCUCAAAGAUUAAGCCAUGCAUGUCUAAGCAUAAGCCGAAUAUGGUUAAGCCGCGAAUGGCUCAUUACAACAGCCUUAGUUUAUUGGAUCUUAAAGUCCUACUUGGAUAACUGUGGUAAUUCUAGAGCUAAUACACGCAAUCAAUCCUCAACCUUACGGGCGAGGAGCAUUUAUUAGAACAAAACCAAUCGGCUUCGGCCGUCUUUGGUGAAUCUGAAUAACUACGCUGAUCGCAUGGUCUCGUACCGGCGACAUAUCCUUCAAGUGUCUGCCUUAUCAACUGUCGAUGGUAGUUUACACGCCUACCAUGGUUGUAACGGGUAACGGAGAAUAAGGGUUCGACUCCGGAGAGGGAGCCUGAGAAACGGCUACCACAUCCAAGGAAGGCAGCAGGCGCGCAAAUUACCCACUCUCAGAACGAGGAGGUAGUGACGAAAAAUAACGAGACAGUUCUCUAUGAGGUCUGUCAUCGGAAUGGGUACAAUUUAAACCCUUUAACGAGGAUCUAUUGGAGGGCAAGUCUGGU